CCUUCAACAGUACUAGGGGAACCUGUGUGGUAAUCGACACUCCACGUUAAUAACUAACCUUCCUUUGAAAAAUACCAGCCUGUAUACCUCCGCCUUAGCUCACCUUUAAGAGACUUAUAGUGAGCAAGAAGUUAACUCAACCAAAUGGCAGGUCAAGGUGCAGCUUAUGGGAAGGGGCAUCAUGGGUGACAAUUCGAUAAAAGAAUAAUGGACUCUUCUUGGAAACAGGAGGAUGAAAAUGGACUUAGAAGUAAGGAGGCCUUUAGAAAAGACUCCUGAAAUACUCCCUAGAAGGUGCACAAAUC
This 305-nucleotide ribosomal RNA is filed under the name Plumatella casmiana. Its description in RNAcentral is "partial 12S ribosomal RNA". The record is from RNAcentral. Lineage: Eukaryota; Metazoa; Bryozoa; Phylactolaemata; Plumatellidae.